RNAcentral lists this long non-coding RNA (209 nucleotides) under Jatropha curcas. Its description in RNAcentral is "long non-coding RNA (JCUR_LNC002652)". The record is from RNAcentral. Lineage: Eukaryota; Viridiplantae; Streptophyta; Magnoliopsida; Malpighiales; Euphorbiaceae.
UUUUUCCAUUUUUCUUUCUCCUAUUCCCCUCUCCCAAACAAGUAUUUCUAUAUAUAUCUUUGGUUACAUGACAUUCUUUUCUCGCAUUAAUUAGAAAUAGUUCUUUUCCACUUUAGCUUGGUUGUUGUUGAUGCAUCAAAGUUCUUGACGCGUAAGUGGCAAGUUCUUAAAGCAUAAGAGUGACUUGCUAGCUUUUAAGGCCCGGUUUU